GAUGAAGAACGUAGCGAAAUGCGAUAAGUAAUGUGAAUUGCAGAAUUCAGUGAAUCAUCGAAUCUUUGAACGCACAUUGCACUCUCUGGUAUUCCGGAGAGUAUGCUUGUUUGAGUAUCUGUAAACAUCUCAAAUCUCUCUUCAAUUGCUUCAAUUGGGUCGAGAGAAUUGGAUUUGAGCGAUCCCGACUCCUUCGUCAGAAAGAGGAGGGUCGCUUGAAAUGCAGGUGCAGCUGGACAUUCUUCUGAGCAAAAAGCAUAUCUAUUUAGUCCCGUCAAACGGAUUAUUACUUUUGCUUCAGCUAAUAUAAAGGUUGAAUGAACUACCAACGCUGAUUGCAGGAAAACAUGUUCGUUUAUUCGGACUUGUAAACUCGAUCUCAAAUCAAGUAAGACUACCCGCUGAACUUAAGCAUAUCAAUAAGCGGAGGA
RNAcentral lists this unclassified non-coding RNA (431 nucleotides) under soil metagenome. RNAcentral's name for it is "partial contains 5.8S ribosomal RNA, internal transcribed spacer 2, and large subunit ribosomal RNA". The stretch from base 1 to 120 matches the Rfam family "5.8S ribosomal RNA", at positions 35 to 154 of the family's 154-position model. The record is from RNAcentral.